RNAcentral lists this ribosomal RNA (406 nucleotides) under uncultured bacterium. RNAcentral describes it as "partial 16S ribosomal RNA". It matches the Rfam family "Bacterial small subunit ribosomal RNA", at positions 30 to 526 of the family's 1533-position model. The record is from RNAcentral.
AUUGAACGCUGGCGGCAGGCUUAACACAUGCAAGUCGAGCGAGCGGCGGACGGGUGAGUAAUGUCUGGGGAACUGCCUGAUGGAGGGGGAUAACUACUGGAAACGGUAGCUAAUACCGCAUACCAUCGGAUGAGCCCAGAUGGGAUUAGCUAGUAGGUGGGGUAAAGGCUCACCUAGGCGACGAUCCCUAGCUGGUCUGAGAGGAUGAUCAGCCACACUGGAACUGAGACACGGCCCAGACUCCUACGGGAGGCAGCAGUGGGGAAUAUUGCACAAUGGGCGCAAGCCUGAUGCAGCCAUGCCGCGUGUGUGAAGAAGGCCUUCGGGUUGUAAAGCACUUUCAGCGAGGAGGCGUUACUCGCAGAAGAAGCACCGGCUAACUCCGUGCCAGCAGCCGCGGUAAUUC